Molecule: long non-coding RNA, 3133 nt
Organism: Astatotilapia calliptera (eastern happy)
Lineage: Eukaryota; Metazoa; Chordata; Actinopteri; Cichliformes; Cichlidae
Source: Ensembl
UGAUCCUGACAAAAGUCUUGAUAUCCUGUCUAUCUUCCCAAGAUUCUUGGAUACAAGAGGAUUGGUGAAUCAAGACUUCACUCUCCUGUUUGAUGAUGAGAUAUCUACCAGGCUGCUUCAGAAAUGGGAUCCAAUCUUUAGGUAUCAAAUCAUCAAAGAGGCCAAGCAGCUCACCUCAACAGUAGAGUUGCGUCAAUUGGUGCAGUCAGCAGAGAGUCCACCAGGAAGUGAUCUUGAUGAGGCAGCAACCUUUGACCAAGACAUGGCCUCCCUGUUGUUACUGUUACAUCUACUUCCGCCACCCCCAGGAGGACCAAAGUAUCAAAAAAUCAGCGCCUCUGAUGCUGUUGAGAGACUUGUAGUCUUUCAUAAGUCUUGCUGCAGUUUGGAAGAGCAUCUCCAGAAUCAGCAGAGUCAGCAGCCAUACCUCCUGGCUGUUGGGCGCCAGAAGAGGAAGGUCGACAGCUUCUAUGUUGCCAUAGACAAGCGUCUCAUCCCCUGCCAGGCCAGCCGCUCCCUUGGGGCAUUUGAUGAGCUUUUUAAAGCUCAUUUUGUGUUCAAUGUGUCUUAUGAUGCUGCACUUGUGAAUUUCUACACAUUUCUGCAGACAACAGUAUACAAUAUUGAUAUGGGGAAAAUGAAGGAGUCCCCAAGAGUGCGUGACUUGAGAGCCAAAAUCCUUAACCAGGAAAUUCUUCUCACAACCUAAGUAAAAAUCAUUAAAAUGCUGACAUGUUUUUUGUGUAAGAGAGCUUAUCUCAGCAGUCAGCAGCUGAUUUCACAUUUAAGAGGUGAACAUGGUUAUUAUCCUGGACCUAAGUUUAAGUUAUGUUGUUGGCAGCCAGGCUGCAGGCUUCAGUUCCAAACUUAUGCAGGCUUUAGGAAGCACCUCAGUUUUCACAGCAAUGUUGACCACAAUGAUCGAACUUCAGCCAUUGCUUCUUUUUCUAAUGACACAGUUUCACCUGCUUUGGAGGACCAGUUUAAUUCCUCUUAUCUUCCUCACAGUUCUCCCAGUGUUCUUCCAGAGUCUAGUUCUUCCAGUGUUCCAGUGAGCAUUGAUUCAGUACUUACAAGGGAUUCAUCCAAAGAAAUCUGUGCAUCCAUUGUGGCCAAACUGCAGGGUAGUGGCCUUUCUAACAGUUUAGUAUCCUCACUUGUAGGCGAUUUGGAGGAAUUAACAAGUGAGCUUCGCUCAGAAGCAAAGCAGGCCAUUCUUUCUGCGUUACCCACAAAGGACUCCAGCAUAUCUUUAAUAAAUGAAUGUUUUGAAAAUUUUGAAAACCCUUUCACCAAUCUGAACACAGAAUGGAAACGAAAUAAAUACUUCAAUCUAAAAUGGGGAGUUGUAGAACCUAGAGAAAUAACACUUGGAGUGAGGUAUGACAUCAGGCGAAAUCAGAAGUUUGGUACUUAUGAUCAAGUACCUGUGAAGGAUACUUUUAUAUAUGUACCUAUUUUGGAGUCUUUGAAGUUCAUGUUUAGAAAUCCAGAGAUUUGUGUUUUCCUGCAGAGAGAGUGUAGCUCAGAGCCUGAUGCUUAUCAUGACUUUUGUGAUGGAAGUUACUUUAAAACUCACCCUUUGUUUUCAGCCAAAAGGCAUGCAUUACAAAUUCAGCUAUACUAUGAUGACUUUGAAACAGCCAAUCCUCUUGGCUCUAAACGCGGAAUUCACAAAAUUGGCUGUAUUUAUUUUGUUAUAAGAAACUUGCCCCCAAAAUUUAAUUCCAUUUUGAUGAACAUUCAUUUAGUGUCACUUUUCCACACACCAGAUCUGCAAAAGUAUGGUUUUGAUGUUAUACUGGAACCACUGAUAAAUGAUGUCAAAAAACUGGAAAGCCAAGGGCUAAGUCUUCCAUUUUCUGAUGAGCAGGUAUAUGGCACAAUAUCACAGAUCACUGGAGAUAACCUAGGGAUGCACUCAAUUCUUGGUUUUAAUGAGUCGUUCAGUAGCCGUCAUUUCUGUCGCCUUUGUUUGAUUGAGAAGAAUGAUUGUCAAAUGGUGUACAGUGAGGAUGAUCCUAAAAUUAUUCUUCGUGGGAAAGAUUUGUUUGACAUACAUUGCCAGUCUCUUCGGGAAGAUCCUAAAUUGAAGUCACUGUAUGGGUUGAAAAGAAAUUCUGCACUCAAUUCAUUGCAGUAUUACCAUAUUUGCAAUAACUACUCAUUUGAUAUAAUGCAUGACCUUCUUGAAGGUGUGGCUCAGUAUGAGGUCAAAUUGCUUUUUGAGUAUCUUACGCAACACUUCAUAUCAGAACAGAACUUGCUUUCUAGGAUUUAUGGUUUUGACUAUGGAUUUUUAGAAAGAAAAAACCGGCCCACUAAAAUCAUAUUGGACAGUGCUGGCAAUAGCAUUGGUUUGAACUCUAUCCAGACAUUCUGUCUUGUGAAAAACAUCCCACUUUUGUUUGGUGACAUUAUUCCUGCAGGGAACAGACACUGGAAUUUGUUAUUGUUGUUACUUCAAAUAAUGAACAUUGUUUUUUCACCUUGUCUCACUCUGGGAAUGACUAUAUAUUUGAAGAAUUUGAUUAUUGACCACCACAAACUAUUUAAGCACACGUAUCCACACAGAAACUUGAUUCCUAAGCAUCAUUUUAUGAUUCAUUACCCAUCCUGUAUUCGAAAAAUUGGCCCUUUACUGUAUAUGUGGAGUAUGAGGUUUGAAGCUAAGCACAAGUUGUUCAAAGAUUAUUUCAAAAAUUUCAAAAACCUCACCAAAUCGCUUGCUAAACGGCAUCAGAUGGCCAUUGCUUAUCACUGGGAAACCUUUUCUCUUAAACAGAAGGAGUUUGGGCCAAUUAAAUCAUUUUCUUUAAGAGGUGAAAGUGUGGUCAAUAGUGAAAUGCUAUUAUCAAAAGAUGUUUUCUCAACAAGUUGGGUUAAAAUUGAUGGUGUAGAGUACAAAGCUGGACUCGUUGUUUGCAGUACAAUGGAGGAAGACAUGCCAGUCUUUUGUCAAAUAAUUGAUACACUUAUGGUUGAAAAUGACAUUUUUUUGUUGACACACAAACUCUUUACUGAAAACUUUGAUGAACAUCACCAUGCAUUCAAAGUACUACAAACUGAAGAACGGUGUGUCAUAAAAAUAACUGAACUCAAAUGUCACAGACCAUUUGAUAUUCAAAACUCA